This 96-nucleotide transfer RNA is filed under the name Rhodococcus antarcticus. RNAcentral's name for it is "Rhodococcus sp. 75 tRNA-Sec". It matches the Rfam family "Selenocysteine transfer RNA". The record is from RNAcentral. Lineage: Bacteria; Bacillati; Actinomycetota; Actinomycetes; Mycobacteriales; Nocardiaceae.
GGAGGCGUGAGGGUGCCUGGUGGCCCCCACGGUCUUCAAAACCGAUGUGGCCGAGCACCUCGGUCAGGCGGGUUCGAUUCCCGUCCGCCUCCGCCA